UACGGAGGGGGCGAGCGUUGUCCGAAUUUAUUGGGCGUAAAGCGCACGUAGGCGGAUCUUUUAAGUCAGGGGUGAAAUCCUGGAGCUCAACUCCAGAACUGCCUUCGAUACUGAAGAGCUCGAGUCCGGGGAGAGGUGAGUGGAACUGCGAGUGUAGAGGUGAAAUUCGUAGAUAUUCGCAAGAACACCAGUGGCGAAGGCGGCUCACUGGCCCGGUACUGACGCUGAGGUGCGAAAGCGUGGGGAGCAAACAGG
RNAcentral lists this ribosomal RNA (255 nucleotides) under uncultured bacterium. Its description in RNAcentral is "partial 16S ribosomal RNA". It matches the Rfam family "Bacterial small subunit ribosomal RNA", at positions 524 to 776 of the family's 1533-position model. The record is from RNAcentral.